GGGGCUGUAGCUCAGUGGUGAAGCAUCUGCUGAACAUGCAGAAAGUCCCAGGGUUCAAUCGCCAGCUUCUCCA
Molecule: transfer RNA, 73 nt
Filed under: Sphaerodactylus townsendi
Lineage: Eukaryota; Metazoa; Chordata; Lepidosauria; Squamata; Sphaerodactylidae
Description: tRNA-Val
Source: RNAcentral